Non-coding RNA from Lupinus albus (white lupine), 122 nucleotides. NCBI's taxonomy places the organism in Eukaryota, Viridiplantae, Streptophyta, Magnoliopsida, Fabales, Fabaceae. The record is from the annotation of a GenBank genome assembly.
GUUGAGAGGAAUAUUGUCUGGCUCGAGGUCAUGAAGGAGUAUAUUGGUGAAAUCUUUGAGGAAUUUAUACCCUCUAACUCUAACCCUAAAUGAUUCUCGGACCAGGCUUUAUUCCUUCCAAC